AGAGGAAUCGAGGUCGAUCCUGCUAAAGAAUAAGAAAAAGAAAAAGAAAAAGAAAAAGAAAAAGCAAUGCAAGAAACGCCUGAACCGAAAACAAAAAAAAAGAGCAAACGGUCAGGUGGAUAUUGCCAAAAGGGCAUUGGAAAAAGAAUAAGUUGCAGGAACCUUUGAUUCUGUUAAUCUGGUACUGGACAGCCCUCGAGGGGUCUAUGAG
RNAcentral lists this long non-coding RNA (211 nucleotides) under Lathyrus oleraceus (garden pea). RNAcentral's name for it is "Pisum sativum (pea) long non-coding RNA (PSAT_LNC015644)". The record is from RNAcentral. Lineage: Eukaryota; Viridiplantae; Streptophyta; Magnoliopsida; Fabales; Fabaceae.